RNAcentral lists this long non-coding RNA (1819 nucleotides) under Ananas comosus (pineapple). RNAcentral describes it as "long non-coding RNA (ACOM_LNC026244)". The record is from RNAcentral. Lineage: Eukaryota; Viridiplantae; Streptophyta; Magnoliopsida; Poales; Bromeliaceae.
AAAUACUAUUUUUCUAUGAGAUAGUGUUUUCAUAGAAAAUUAGUGUUUUCAACAUUUGGUAUCAGGGCGAGUACCAAAUUUUCAACACAAAUAUGGGAUGUGUUUGGUUCGAAGUCGGAAUUGAUAUCGGAGUCGGAACGAGAAUAAGUUGGAAACGGAAUCGAAAUGAUUCAUUACCUCAUUCUAUUUGGUUAGCCAGCUGAAUCGGAAUUGAAAUAAAUCAUUCCCAUUGUAGUUGUUUGGUUCAUAUAGAUAUCAGGAAAGUAAUCAAAUUAAUAUGUUAAUUUUAUCUUUAUAAUAUAUUAGUUUAAAUUCAAACUGAAAAUUAAAUAUUAAAAAUUUAUGUCAAAAUUUUAAAUAUAUUUUUUUAAAAAUUAAAAUUUGAAAUUGAACGGAUAAUUCAAAAUAUGAAACUAAAUUUUGAUUUAUUCAAAUUCAAACUUAAAAUUAUAAUUAUAAUUUCAAUUUCAAUUUGAAUCCAUAAAUUUAAUUUAAAUUUUAAAUAAAAUUUGAAUAAAACUUAAGAUUUUAAAUUAAAUUUAAAUUUAUAAACUAGAUUUAAAAUGCUUGAUUUAAGGUAAAAUUUAAAUUUAAAUUUAUAAAUAUAAUUUUUAAAAACUUAAACUUAUAUUUUAAUUAAAAAAUAAGCUUAAAAAGUUAAAUUUAAUCCGAGCAAAUCCAUUCCGUGCGGAUUCAAUUCCCAAUCUGGCCUCCUAGGCCGGAUUGGAAAAGAGGGUAAUUGGGGUGAUUCCCAUUCAUCCGGGAAUCAGAAUCGAAAUAGAAAUUCCACGUACCAAACAGGGACAAAUGAAUUCAUCCAUUCCGAUUCCGAUUUCAAAAUGAAAAAUGGGCGAACCAAACACGCCCUUGGUCUACAAGUUAUUCUUAAGGCUACGUUUUGUUCAAAGGAUAAAAGAAGAAUAAGAGAUUUAUUCCUCUUAUUCUUCCAAAUAGUGUUAAAAUUGCCAAGAACUAUUAUUCUCCUCUUAACGGGUUAUUCCGGAAUAACCCGUUAAGAGGGGAGAAUAGUAGUUCCACCUAUUAGGUGGAACAAGCUAUUCUCUACCUUAUUCCUCUCUACUAAUUAAAUUAUUAAUAAUUAUAAAUUAUAAUUAAUUAACCCAAUUAAUUUUUUUAAUAAUUGACUAAUUAAUUAUUUAACUUAUUAAAUUAAUAAAUAUUUAAAUAAUAGUUUAUUUAUAAUUUAUUAUUAUUUAUCUAAUUAAAUAGUUAGCCAUAUGAUAUGCUUAUUCAAUCAUUAACUAAUAUUUAUAUUAUUUAAAUAAUUAGUAUUUUAAUUUAUAUAAUUAAUAUAUUAACUUAAAAUAAAUGAUUAAAUAAUUAAUUAAUAUUAACAUAUUGACUUAAUAUUAACUUAUAAUUAUUUACUAAUUAAUGUCAUCUUCGUCAUCUCAUAUAGUAAUUUUAAUUAAUUUAUAAAAUAAUUUUGAUUAAUUUAUUUAUUAACUUAAAAUAUUAUUUUACUAAUACUUAAUUAGAUGCUUAUUGUUUUAAUAAAUUAUUUUUAUUUUCAAUCAUAAUUACUCUUAUCCCUACUAUUCCAACCCAAUCAACCAAACAUAACUUUUUUUAUUUCUCUAAAUAUCUCGAUCCUUGUCCAAAGACUCCAAACACAAAUUUAAAUUAAUUCCUAUCUAUCCCAGAAGUUAUACAUAUCCGAAGAAUAAAUAAAAAUAGCUUAUUUUCGAACCAAAUAAUACCUUAAGAAUAAAUAAAAAUAGCUUAUUUUCGAACCAAAUGAUACCUUAAGAUAAGAUAAAUUACCUCACAGGUGAAAUAUCUUAAAGAACCAAUCAAU